Molecule: ribosomal RNA, 499 nt
Filed under: uncultured bacterium
Lineage: Bacteria
Description: bacterial SSU rRNA
Rfam family: Bacterial small subunit ribosomal RNA
Source: RNAcentral
ACGAACGCUGGCGGCGUGCCUAAUACAUGCAAGUCGAGCGAUAUCUCUGGGGGCUUGCCCCCAAAGAUGUAGCGGCGGACGGGUGAGUAACACGUGGGCAACCUGCCUGUAAGACUGGGAUAACUUCGGGAAACCGGAGCUAAUACCGGAUAAUCCUUUUCUUCACAUGAAGGAAAGCUGAAAGAUGGCUUCGGCUAUCACUUACAGAUGGGCCCGCGGCGCAUUAGCUAGUUGGUGAGGUAACGGCUCACCAAGGCAACGAUGCGUAGCCGACCUGAGAGGGUGAUCGGCCACACUGGGACUGAGACACGGCCCAGACGCCUACGGGAGGCAGCAGUAGGGAAUCUUCCGGAAUGGACGAAAGUCUGACGGAGCAACGCCGCGUGAGUGAUGAAGGUUUUCGGAUCGUAAAACUCUGUUGUUAGGGAAGAACAAGUACCGUUCGAAUAGGGCGGUACCUUGACGGUACCUAACCAGAAAGCCACGGCUAACUACGUGC